This 70-nucleotide transfer RNA is filed under the name Pteria penguin. Its description in RNAcentral is "tRNA-Asp". It matches the Rfam family "tRNA". Rfam says of the family: Transfer RNA (tRNA) molecules are approximately 80 nucleotides in length. The record is from RNAcentral. Lineage: Eukaryota; Metazoa; Mollusca; Bivalvia; Pterioida; Pteriidae.
GAUAAGAUGGAGUAAGGUGAGCUCGUUAGGUUGUCGAUCUAAAGGUGCAAGGAUUAAGUUGCUCUUAUUU